Molecule: ribosomal RNA, 497 nt
Filed under: uncultured bacterium
Lineage: Bacteria
Description: partial 16S ribosomal RNA
Rfam family: Bacterial small subunit ribosomal RNA
Source: RNAcentral
GAUGAACGCUGGCGGCGUGCCUAAUACAUGCAAGUCGAGCGAACAGACGAGGAGUUUGCUCCUCUGACGUUAGCGGCGGACGGGUGAGUAACACGUGGAUAACCUACCUAUAAGACUGGGAUAACUUCGGGAAACCGGAGCUAAUACCGGAUAAUAUAUUGAACCGCAUGGUUCAAUAGUGAAUGACGGUUUUGCUGUAACUUAUAGAUGGAUCCGCGCCGCAUCGGCUAGUUGGUAAGGUAACGGCUUACCAAGGCAACGAUUCGUAGCCGAACUGAGAGGGUGAUGGACCACAUUGGAACAUGCACCAGGUCCAUACCCCUACGUGAGGCAGCAGAAGCGAAUGUUCCGCAAUGGGCGGGAGCCUGACGAAGGAACGCCGAGUGAGAGAUGACGGUUUCGCGGUCGUGAAGCUCUGUUACUAGGGAAGAACAACUUUGUAAUUAUCGCUACGCGUAUUGACGGUACCUAAACAGAAAGCCACGGCUAACUACGUG